UUGAACGCUGGCGGCAUGCCUUACACAUGCAAGUCGAACGGCAGCACGGACUUCGGUCUGGUGGCGAGUGGCGAACGGGUGAGUAAUGUAUCGGAACGUACCUUUCAGUGGGGAUAACGUAGCGAAAGUUACGCUAAUACCGCAUAUUCUGUGAGCAGGAAAGCAGGGGAUCGCAAGACCUUGCGCUGAUUGAGCGGCCGAUAUCAGAUUAGCUAGUUGGUGAGGUAAAGGCUCACCAAGGCGACGAUCUGUAGCGGGUCUGAGAGGAUGAUCCGCCACACUGGAACUGAGACACGGUCCAGACUCCUACGGGAGGCAGCAGUGGGGAAUUUUGGACAAUGGGGGCAACCCUGAUCCAGCCAUGCCGCGUGAGUGAAGAAGGCCUUUGGGUUGUAAAGCUCUUUCGGCCGGGAAGAAAUCGCAUGGGCUAAUACCCUGUGCGGAUGACGGUACCGGCAUAAGAAGCACCGGCUAACUACGUG
This 482-nucleotide ribosomal RNA is filed under the name uncultured bacterium. RNAcentral's name for it is "bacterial SSU rRNA". It matches the Rfam family "Bacterial small subunit ribosomal RNA", at positions 30 to 507 of the family's 1533-position model. The record is from RNAcentral.